RNAcentral lists this ribosomal RNA (465 nucleotides) under Vreelandella stevensii. RNAcentral's name for it is "partial 16S ribosomal RNA". It matches the Rfam family "Bacterial small subunit ribosomal RNA", at positions 338 to 795 of the family's 1533-position model. The record is from RNAcentral. Lineage: Bacteria; Pseudomonadati; Pseudomonadota; Gammaproteobacteria; Oceanospirillales; Halomonadaceae.
CCUACGGGCGGCAGCAGUGGGGAAUAUUGGACAAUGGGCGAAAGCCUGAUCCAGCCAUGCCGCGUGUGUGAAGAAGGCCUUCGGGUUGUAAAGCACUUUUAGUGGGGAAGAAAGCCUUGCGACUAAUACCCUCGAGGAAGGACAUCACCCACAGAAGAAGCACCGGCUAACUCCGUGCCAGCAGCCGCGGUAAUACGGAGGGUGCGAGCGUUAAUCGGAAUUACUGGGCGUAAAGCGCGCGUAGGCGGUCUGAUAAGCCGGUUGUGAAAGCCCCGGGCUCAACCUGGGAACGGCAUCCGGAACUGUCAGGCUAGAGUGCAGGAGAGGAAGGUAGAAUUCCCGGUGUAGCGGUGAAAUGCGUAGAGAUGGGGAGGAAUACCAGUGGCGAAGGCAGCCUUCUGGACUAACACUGACGCUGAGGUGCGAAAGCGUGGGUAGCAAACAGGAUUAGAUACCCGUGUAGUC